Molecule: ribosomal RNA, 472 nt
Filed under: uncultured Acidithiobacillus sp.
Lineage: Bacteria; Pseudomonadati; Pseudomonadota; Acidithiobacillia; Acidithiobacillales; Acidithiobacillaceae
Description: bacterial SSU rRNA
Rfam family: Bacterial small subunit ribosomal RNA
Source: RNAcentral
ACACAUGCAGUCGAACGGUAACAGGUCUUCGGAUGCUGACGAGUGGCGGACGGGUGAGUAAUGCGUAGGAAUCUGUCUUUUAGUGGGGGACAACCCAGGGAAACUUGGGCUAAUACCGCAUGAGCCCUGAGGGGGAAAGCGGGGGAUCUUCGGACCUCGCGCUAAGGGAGGAGCCUACGUCUGAUUAGCUAGUUGGUAGGGUAAAGGCCUACCAAGGCGACGAUCGGUAGCUGGUCUGAGAGGACGACCAGCCACACUGGGACUGAGACACGGCCCAGACUCCUACGGGAGGCAGCAGUGGGGAAUUUUUCGCAAUGGGGGCAACCCUGACGAAGCAAUGCCGCGUGGAUGAAGAAGGCCUUCGGGUUGUAAAGUCCUUUCGUGGAGGACGAAAAGGUGGGUGCUAAUAUCAUCUGCUGUUGACGUGAAUCCAAGAAGAAGCACCGGCUAACUCCGUGCCAGCAGCCCGGGG